This 375-nucleotide ribosomal RNA is filed under the name uncultured bacterium. Its description in RNAcentral is "bacterial SSU rRNA". It matches the Rfam family "Bacterial small subunit ribosomal RNA", at positions 523 to 898 of the family's 1533-position model. The record is from RNAcentral.
AUACGUAGGGAGUGAGCGUUGUCCGGAUUUACUGGGUGUAAAGGGUGCGUAGGCGGCUCUGCAAGUCAGGUGUGAAAACCAUCGGCUUAACUGAUGGACUGCAUUUGAAACUGUGGGGCUUGAGUGGAGUAGAGGCAGACGGAAUUCCCGGUGUAGCGGUGAAAUGCGUAGAGAUCGGGAAGAACACCAGUGGCGAAGGCGGUUUGCUGGGCUCUAACUGACGCUGAGGCACGAAAGCAUGGGUAGCAAACAGGAUUAGAUACCCUGGUAGUCCAUGCCAUAAACGAUGAUUACUAGGUGUAGGGGUUUAAAGACUUCGGUGCCGGAGUUAACGCAAUAAGUAUCCCGCCUGGGGAGUACGGCCGCAAGGCUGAA